GUGCUUGCUUCGGCAGCACAUAUACUAAAAUUGGAACGAAACAGAGAAGAUUCACAUGGCCCCUACGCAAGGAUGACACGCAAAUUCGUGAGGCAUUCCAUAUUUUU
Molecule: small nuclear RNA, 107 nt
Organism: Sciurus vulgaris (Eurasian red squirrel)
Lineage: Eukaryota; Metazoa; Chordata; Mammalia; Rodentia; Sciuridae
Source: Ensembl